Molecule: transfer RNA, 73 nt
Filed under: Piptocephalis tieghemiana
Lineage: Eukaryota; Fungi; Zoopagomycota; Zoopagomycetes; Zoopagales; Piptocephalidaceae
Description: tRNA-Arg
Rfam family: tRNA
About the family: Transfer RNA (tRNA) molecules are approximately 80 nucleotides in length. Their secondary structure includes four short double-helical elements and three loops (D, anti-codon, and T loops). Further hydrogen bonds mediate the characteristic L-shaped molecular structure. tRNAs have two regions of fundamental functional importance: the anti-codon, which is responsible for specific mRNA codon recognition, and the 3' end, to which the tRNAs corresponding amino acid is attached (by aminoacyl-tRNA synthetases). tRNAs cope with the degeneracy of the genetic code in two manners: having more than one tRNA (with a specific anti-codon) for a particular amino acid; and 'wobble' base-pairing, i.e. permitting non-standard base-pairing at the 3rd anti-codon position.
Source: RNAcentral
GGUCGUAUGGCCUAAUGGAUAAGGCGCUUGACUUCGGAUCAAGAGAUUGCAGGUUCGAGUCCUGCUACGAUCG